GAUGAACGCUGGCGGCGUGCCUAACACAUGCAAGUCGAACGGAGUCCAGCCUUAGAGCCCUUCGGGUCAAAGAGGGGAAGACUGAGUGGCGGACGGGUGAGUAACACGUGGGCAACCUGGCUCAUAGAGGGGGAUAACAGAGAGAAAUUUCUGCUAAUACCGCAUAAGCACACACUGCCGCAUGGCAGAGUGUGAAAAGAGAAUCGCUAUGAGAUGGACCCGCGUCUGAUUAGCCAGUUGGCAGGGUAAGAGCCUACCAAAGCGACGAUCAGUAGCCGAUUUGAGAGGAUGAACGGCCACAUUGGGACUGAGACACGGCCCAAACUCCUACGGGAGGCAGCAGUGGGGGAUAUUGCACAAUGGGGGGAACCCUGAUGCAGCGACGCCGCGUGAGUGAAGAAGUAUUUCGGUAUGUAAAGCUCUAUCAGCAGGGAAGAUAAUGACAGUACCUGAAGAAGAAGCCCCGGCUAACUACGUG
This 478-nucleotide ribosomal RNA is filed under the name uncultured bacterium. Its description in RNAcentral is "partial 16S ribosomal RNA". It matches the Rfam family "Bacterial small subunit ribosomal RNA", at positions 28 to 507 of the family's 1533-position model. The record is from RNAcentral.